AAUAAAGGUAGCCUAUCCUCUCGUUGCUUUCGCUCGCCUUUCUCUCGAGCGCGCGCGCUCUCUCUCUCUCUCGAUCCUCUCUCCACCUCUCGGCCGCCGGCCUUCCGGCCAUUGUCGGCGGUCUCCGGCUCCGCCCAACACUCCCUCGUGUUAUCCUUCAUCCGACCUAUCUGCUCCGCCAACUCGAUUCGACGCUCGCCUCCUCCUCUUGCGCUCGUGGCUAACCCUAGCCGCCACUAUCGCCGGCGCACGGUGCCGUCUUGGACGCCGGCGCGACUCCGACGCCUCCUUGCACUCCUCCUCGAUGCCUCCUGCCCGCUCUCCCGUGUCACCGAGGCCGUCAAGCGCGAGGGCAUGCACUCCCGGUGGCAGCGAUGAUUUCCGAUCUGCGCCAUCUUCAAGGGCGCGGAGCAACGGAGGUCGGCUCCUUCUUCUCCCCGGUCACGCGUCGGGAGAGGAGUCAGCCCCCUUGUGUUUCUGCGCCAAGGUCAGCAACGGGGACGCUCGUUGACCGUCCUCUUCUUCGCCAUGGCCUGUCGAGGCCGGCAAGGAGGUCUCCAGCAUGCUCGAGGCCGCCGCCCCCGAGCUCAAAGAGAACUCGUUGAAGAUAAUCCAUGCCACCGCGUGGCUUCGAUCUCCAUCAUCUGCGUCGUUCUCGUCCUAUUGGAGCGAGCUGGGACCAAGCUCGAACAGUUUGUCGUGGAAAGAAAAGAGUGAGACUAAUAAGAUGGAUAUAUUCAAUGACAACGGUGGGAUGAAGUCAGGAAGUCACUCGAUCUGGAUGUGCGAGCCAUUAUAAGUGUAGCUGUUUUCAUCGGCCGAAGUACCAUCAUGCCUGAUAUGCAUGGCUCUUGGCCACUGCAGGACAAUGCUUAUUGACAAAUUUUUGCUUUGGGAAACAUUUCCAUUAUGCUGCCUGAGAUGGAUUCUUCAUUAUGCUGUCUUUGAAUUCCCACCAAAUUCAGUCGCAGAAGCUCAAAUGCGAAGGACGUCAAACUUCCUGGUUACAUUGCAAAGUUUAGUUACUGUUUAUUCCAAGAAAGAGUUUGUUUAGUCAUAUUCAGUGGAGCAACAAGCUUAUAUCGCUGCAGCAAUAGGGUUAUGUUUGGAGAACAUGUCAAAAGAAGAAUUAGAAAUGAAUAGAGAUGUAUUAAAUUAUAUUCUUCAAGGAGUAAGCUGUAGGUUAGAGAGCCCAAUUGAUUUAGUCCGGAAGAUGGCAAGUGCUGUUGCAUUGACAUUUUCUAAAGUCGUUGAUCCAAAAAAUCCUCUUUACCUUGAUGAUGACUGUUAGAAUGUUGACUGGGAGUUCGGGGUUCUCUCUCCAAAGGAGAUCACAGCUCCUUCGCAUGAUGUAGAGUUUGGAAGCAAAUCAAAACCAUCCAUGUAAGAACUGGAAACAUGCUGGUGACAAAAAGGGAAAGACUAUCAAGCAUGAUAUUUCAGAUAACAGAGUAAAAAUCGUAGAGAUCAAGUCAAAACUAGAUUCUGAUGAAAUGUCUGGCGCUGCUAUAAAUCUUGAGGAACACUAUGACAAGGAAAGCAUUAACAUUGAUGCUUCCAGUGAUUCAUCCCUGGAGCGGUAUGAUCUGUCAGAUGAUGAUACUGAUUUGCAGAAGAAUUUCACACAUCUAAGUGAUCUUGCAGCUGCACUGCGAAAACCUGACGAUCUAGAUGGUGGUUGAAAGCGCUCUUAGUUCUACCGAAAAGCUUGUGAGAGCAUCACCUGAUGAGAUGCCACUGCUCGGGUGAUCUUGUUCAAGCACUGGUACAUGUUUGUUAUUCUGACGUCGCGAUGGAAGGCGACAUAAGGCAUUAGUCGCUUUGCUGGCCAUAGAUAAAAUUCGACAAGAGAAGAAAUGUGUGCAGCAGAGGAACCAAGAUGCCAAAGGUUCAAAGCGGUGUUGCGCUGAAAAAACCAGGACAAUGUAAGAGGCUUAGCUUUGUGAGAGUAAUCCCAGGAUCUGUGUUGGCAAUGUCCUUUACUGGUGGUCUAAGAGUUUGAGACCCAAUAGAAUUUUUUCGGAUUUGGCGAGGUUCACGGAUGAUAUAAUUGAGUUACAUUUGAAUAGUCAGAGCUUAUAUGUGAUCCAGGGACCUCCUGGUCUAAAUGGAUCCCUAAUGCAUCAGAUAAUCCAAGCGGUGUUCAUAAGGAAGAGGCUCUGUCGAGUUGCGGCAGUCUUCUCGUUAGCACGAGAACGACCACAAGUCAUUCCAUGACCGUGGAUGCGAGUUCCUAGAAGAAACCCAUUCUCGGUGCCCUGUGACUGGGUUUCUCUACGAGCAGUAUAAUCGAUAUCCGAUAGAAUACAAAAAUUACGGGACGAGGAGCUGCAACUGCAGCUUGCUGAGCUAUUGCAUGGCUUUGCAAGAACUAGGAAGCUAACGGGAGAGUCUCAUGAAUCACAGUGACAGAUAACGUUUGAGGCAAAUUCCUUCACCUGCCCUGCUGAUGGGAAAUUCUGCAAUGAUGCCCAGCGGCACGCCACUCUCAAGCUAGAGGUCAAGCUUAGGAACUGUAGGUCCUGCUUCGUGAGCUAUGUCAGCGCUCAGAAAGCAUACAUCGAAACCCUUGAUGGCUGAUUGUCCAAGUUCAUCCUGACGGACACCAUUCGUUACUCCCGGGGGAUCUCCUCGAUCGCGCUCGACAGGGCCGGCGCUCUGCCCCUGGCGGUGAUAACGAGUGGUACACCAUGUUGUCGACAACCGGAUCCUCAACACUGACUCCGGCAUAGGUAUUCCUAUGCUCUGCUCUGCUCUCUCUCUCUCUCUCUCUAAUGCCACUGGGCCGUGUUACUGUCCACUCGACGUAUAACUGAUGCUUCAAAUGUUAGGCAUGAUAUAAGUAAAUCCUGUUUCCUUUGAAGAGAUAGAUUUUCACAUGAAGGAUGGCAUUACGGCAGUAGGAACACUCUCUUGUGUUGUUUGAUGUAACAUGUCGGGUUUCCACUGGCAUUAUACAUAUUUGGGGCUGGCGAGCAAAUUUAUGGUGAACAAUUUUUGUAUACACCUUUACCCAGCUAGCAAAAAAAUAAUCUUUUCCAUUUAGUAUUCCUAUGUCAACACAACCAUGAGUGUAACUUCUUUUGGAAAUGAUGUUAUUUACUACAAUGCUACCCUCCCAUCUCCUCGGAUUGGAGGGUUAAACAGAAAACUUGCAAGAGAAUGGUACACCAUGACGAUGUACACUGAAUUGAAGAUCCCCAGAAAGUGGAAAUCCGCCCGCUUCCAACUGAUGAUAAAAUUCUUGCAAUUGAGUAUCAAAUUGGUGGUAGUAAGCUCCAAGAAGAAGAGGUGCAUUGUGCUCAUCAGCCUGAGAAAAGUGUAACAUCCAACCACAAUCUAGAAAAUAGGCAUACAAAUUCGAAGGACCGAAAGAUGAAGAUGCAACAAUACUUGAGAGCUCAAGGUAUCCUCUUUGUUAUUAUAUUUUUUUCAUCAUUUCACACAUCGAUGUUUUGCUUCUUGAUAUGUUUAUUGGAUUGUGCAAGAACAAGGGUUUCAAUAUAUGCAAAAAAAAAUCGACAACAGUACAUGCGACAAAUGGUGCUAUCCGUGUUCACUGCAAUUUCCUCAUCCUAGAGAAAUACCUUACCAGGGUUGAGUGCCCAACAUACCCAAAGAUGGCACCCGAUACGCGCCCGCAGCCAGAACCAACGAAGUUGCAGUACAAGAAGCUGGGAGAUUCAGAUCUCCUUAUCGUCGAGAUAACUCUUGGAACAGUAUGUGUAGAGCUGAACCAUCAUGUUUAUGUUGUUGCUGUUGGUCGAUUUUUUUACAUCUUAGUUUAAUUUUUACUUCUUUUAGAUGAUCUUUGGAGAACAAAUUUCUGUUGUUGCUGUUGGUCGAUUUUUUUACAUCUUAGUUUAAUUUUUACUUCUUUUAGAUGAUCUUUGGAGAACAAAGCACAGAUACGGAAUCACAUGAUAUGCCCUCUUAUUCUUUUGGUCAGGGCAUCAACAUACUCGACGCCGUAGAAAUUGUUACCCAAUCCAACCCAAGAAGAAGACUCAAGGGAGGACUGAUCUAUAUGUAGGCAGGUAGAUGAAAUCCAAGAUAAAGUACCCUAAACCGACCUUAUUUGUUUACAGUUUCCGCGUCCAUUUGUACUAACCUGAUUUUCACUUCACAUGCUUCCGAAUCCAUUUGUAGUUCCCUGCCCACUAUGUUUCCGACCAGAUAAUUUUGGCCACCAAAAUUUAUGGUUAUUUAGAUCGCAAUUUUCUUUGGGAUAAUACAAAAAAGGUGUGUGUUGAUGCUCCCAAUAUAAAGAGUCAGACUUUUCUCAUAAAAAUUCAGGGAGAUAAAAUUUCUUUUGGAAUGUUACCAGUUUGGCUUGCUUUUGUACUGAACCAAGAUGAAGAUGAAUCAAGAUGGAUGAUGUUUACCAAACUGAAGCUUCAAAUAUGAGGCUUGAUGAUCGCGUUUGUGUUGUGUGACGUUACAAUGCUGGGUUCUUAGAUGUUAUGAAGUUUCAAAGUGUUCUACUGCUAUCUAUUUCCUACUCGCUCCGUUUCUUUUGUAAGGCAUAUUUUGAUUUGUUCAGAUAAUACUUUGAAUAAUAAUUCAGAAAGUAUGUUAUGAACAUAUUCUAAAAAAUAGUCUUGGUGUAAAUUGCAAAUUGGUUUCCAUCUAAUGGCAGCUCUCCCUUCCUUUUUCAUCCAUCUUUUUGUAGAUGGCAGGGUAAUGUAUCAUACAUUCACACUGGAAUUGAUUCUGUUCAAAGUGUAUUCACUUUUUUCUUUCUUUCUUAUUGAUCCAUCAAGGAAUGGCUGUAAUGAAUAUUUUAUAUCUCUACAUCCAAGAGAGCAAAGAGAUCCUAAUGUUUUAGUGUAUGCC
Molecule: long non-coding RNA, 4836 nt
Organism: Triticum dicoccoides
Lineage: Eukaryota; Viridiplantae; Streptophyta; Magnoliopsida; Poales; Poaceae
Exons: 9
Source: RefSeq, a predicted model, not a curated record